UACGUAGGGGGCGAGCGUUGUCCGGAAUGAUUGGGCGUAAAGGGCGUGUAGGCGGCCUGUUAAGUCUGGAGUGAAAGUCCAAGUUUCAAGCUUGGAAUUGCUUUGGAUACUGGGAGGCUGGAGUGCAGGAGAGGUUAUCGGAAUUCCCGGUGUAGCGGUGAAAUGCGUAGAGAUCGGGAGGAACACCAGUGGCGAAGGCGGGUAACUGGACUGCAACUGACGCUGAGGCGCGAAAGUGUGGGGAG
RNAcentral lists this ribosomal RNA (245 nucleotides) under uncultured Bacillota bacterium. RNAcentral describes it as "uncultured Firmicutes bacterium partial 16S ribosomal RNA". It matches the Rfam family "Bacterial small subunit ribosomal RNA", at positions 524 to 768 of the family's 1533-position model. The record is from RNAcentral. Lineage: Bacteria; Bacillati; Bacillota.